RNAcentral lists this ribosomal RNA (465 nucleotides) under Vreelandella stevensii. RNAcentral's name for it is "partial 16S ribosomal RNA". It matches the Rfam family "Bacterial small subunit ribosomal RNA", at positions 338 to 795 of the family's 1533-position model. Lineage: Bacteria; Pseudomonadati; Pseudomonadota; Gammaproteobacteria; Oceanospirillales; Halomonadaceae. The record is from RNAcentral.
CCUACGGGUGGCUGCAGUGGGGAAUAUUGGACAAUGGGGGCAACCCUGAUCCAGCCAUGCCGCGUGUGUGAAGAAGGCCCUCGGGUUGUAAAGCACUUUCAGUGAGGAAGAACGCCUGGUGGUUAAUACCCAUCAGGAAAGACAUCACUCACAGAAGAAGCACCGGCUAACUCCGUGCCAGCAGCCGCGGUAAUACGGAGGGUGCGAGCGUUAAUCGGAAUUACUGGGCGUAAAGCGCGCGUAGGUGGCUUGAUAAGCCGGUUGUGAAAGCCCCGGGCUCAACCUGGGAACGGCACCCGGAACUGUCAAGCUAGAGUGCAGGAGAGGAAGGUAGAAUUCCCGGUGUAGCGGUGAAAUGCGUAGAGAUCGGGAGGAAUACCAGUGGCGAAGGCGGCCUUCUGGACUGACACUGACACUGAGGUGCGAAAGCGUGGGUAGCAAACAGGAUUAGAUACCCCUGUAGUC